RNAcentral lists this unclassified non-coding RNA (312 nucleotides) under Hevea brasiliensis (rubber tree). The record is from RNAcentral. Lineage: Eukaryota; Viridiplantae; Streptophyta; Magnoliopsida; Malpighiales; Euphorbiaceae.
GGUUGCCGCCGGGCACACAAAAUUACUGAAAAACUGGAAAACAAAAAUAAACUAACUCAAUUCUCUAAUUUUUAAUACUUCUUUAGUUAAAUCUAAGACUUUUUUCAAAAGAUUUAUUAAAUAAGAAUCCUAUAGGAAUCCUCCUUUUCAAAAAAAUCCUAUAAGAUUUAUUAAAGCAGCAUUGCUAAACAAACAUAAUUAAAAAUGCCAGAUUUCAGAGUAUAAUAACCUUUUCUUACCUAUAUGAUAGGUUUUUGUUGCAGGCAAAAUUGAUGAUGCAUGUUCUGCAAGAGCAAGACCAGCUCUCAAGAU